ACCCUUUAUAAAAUAUUUAAAUUUGCUAUAGAAACCCCAACCAAAUGGGGCAAAGUUGCAAUAAAAGCUUUCUUCUUCUGAUGAUGUGAAAACUAAGAGAGCUAAAAAGAGAACAGGACAGGACAGGACAGGACUUGGUGCUACCUCAUUUCAAAAUCUGUUUGUUUGGAUACAACUGUAGGCAAAGUUUUGCACAUAAAUUAGCCCAAUGUUAAAAAGCAUUCAAACUUACAGGAUGGGGUCAGAUGAUCUCAUUCAACUACGCCACAUUGCUUGCUCAUCACAUGGAAAAAUUAUGCCUCCCAUCCAUCCACCUUUUCUCCAAAUUCAUUCCUUCUUGCUUCCUUUAUCGUCUUCACCACCAUCUUCAGAUGAAAUCCCCAUCUUCGACUCGUCAAAUUCUAACAACGGUUUCACAUCCCCAUUCCAUAUGACAUGAGCAGCCAAAAAUCCAAUAACAGCAGGCACAAUGUAGAGAAGUGCAGGCUGAGCAGCUUGAAACCAAUUCAUGACAAUUAUCGUGAGGACCAAACCAACUGUGUAUCCCACAAAAGCACUGUUAAAGUAUUGACCGUCUUUUCCCCUGGAUGCAUCAAAUCGAAGAGCCAAUGCAACAAAGAUGCCGGGAAUGACAAUGUCACCUAGUCCAAGCAUGGAAAAUGGUCUAGCAGCAUCUGCAGUGGGGAACAAAAGCUUGAUAGGUGCAUCAAAGGAUUUUGCAACACUAACCAUCACUGGAGUAAAGAAAACCCAGAAGAUAUCGUAUACAAACAGUCCAGCCAAAA
This 785-nucleotide unclassified non-coding RNA is filed under the name Hevea brasiliensis (rubber tree). Lineage: Eukaryota; Viridiplantae; Streptophyta; Magnoliopsida; Malpighiales; Euphorbiaceae. The record is from RNAcentral.